Molecule: ribosomal RNA, 468 nt
Filed under: uncultured bacterium
Lineage: Bacteria
Description: partial 16S ribosomal RNA
Rfam family: Bacterial small subunit ribosomal RNA
Source: RNAcentral
GACGAACGCUGGCGGCGUGCUUAACACAUGCAAGUCGAACGGAAAGGCCCUGCUUUUGUGGGGUGCUCGAGUGGCGAACGGGUGAGUAACACGUGAGUAACCUGCCCUUGACUUUGGGAUAACUUCAGGAAACUGGGGCUAAUACCGGCUAGGAGCUCCUGCUGCAUGGUGGGGGUUGGAAAUUUUCGGCGGUUGGGGAUGGACUCGCGGCUUAUCAGCUUGUUGGUGGGGUAGUGGCUUACCAAGGCUUUGACGGGUAGCCGGCCUGAGAGGGUGACCGGCCACAGUGGGACUGAGAUACGGCCCAGACUCCUACGGGAGGCAGCAGUGGGGAAUAUUGCAAAAUGGGCGGAAGCCUGAUGCAGCAACGCCGCGUGCGGGAUGACGGCCUUCGGGUUGUAAACCGCUUUCGGCUGAGACGAAGCGUGAGUGACGGUAAUGGGUAAAGAAGCACCGGCUAACAACGUG